UACGUAGGGAGCGAGCGUUGUCCGGAUUUAUUGGGCGUAAAGAGCUUGUAGGCGGUUCGGUAAGUCGGGUGUGAAAACUCUGGGCUCAACCCAGAGACGCCACCCGAUACUGCUGUGACUUGAGUCUGGUAGGGGAGCACGGAAUUCCUGGUGUAGCGGUGAAAUGCACAGAUAUCAGGAGGAACACCGGUGGCGAAGGCGGUGCUCUGGGCCAGUACUGACGCUGAGAAGCGAAAGCGUGGGGAGCGAACAGG
RNAcentral lists this ribosomal RNA (254 nucleotides) under uncultured bacterium. RNAcentral's name for it is "partial 16S ribosomal RNA". It matches the Rfam family "Bacterial small subunit ribosomal RNA", at positions 524 to 776 of the family's 1533-position model. The record is from RNAcentral.